UACGUAGGGCGCAAGCGUUGUCCGGAAUUAUUGGGCGUAAAGAGCUUGUAGGCGGUUUGUCGCGUCUGCUGUGAAAAUCCGGGGCUCAACCCCGGACUUGCAGUGGGUACGGGCAGACUAGAGUGUGGUAGGGGAGACUGGAAUUCCUGGUGUAGCGGUGAAAUGCGCAGAUAUCAGGAGGAACACCGAUGGCGAAGGCAGGUCUCUGGGCCACUACUGACGCUGAGAAGCGAAAGCAUGGGGGAGCGAACAGG
This 254-nucleotide ribosomal RNA is filed under the name uncultured bacterium. RNAcentral describes it as "partial 16S ribosomal RNA". It matches the Rfam family "Bacterial small subunit ribosomal RNA", at positions 524 to 776 of the family's 1533-position model. The record is from RNAcentral.